UUCGGGGGUCCAAGAGUUUUAUAAAACGUUCUUGGUGGAAAAAAAUGUGAAUGAAAGAUCCCACGGAAUUGAAU
This 74-nucleotide transfer RNA is filed under the name Corymbia citriodora subsp. citriodora. RNAcentral's name for it is "tRNA-Ile". Lineage: Eukaryota; Viridiplantae; Streptophyta; Magnoliopsida; Myrtales; Myrtaceae. The record is from RNAcentral.